UACGUAGGGUGCGAGCGUUGUCCGGAAUUAUUGGGCGUAAAGAGCUUGUAGGCGGUUUGUCGCGCCUGCUGUGAAAAUCCGGGGCUCAACCCCGGACUUGCAGUGGGUACGGGCAGACUAGAGUGUGGUAGGGGAGACUGGAAUUCCUGGUGUAGCGGUGGAAUGCGCAGAUAUCAGGAGGAACACCGAUGGCGAAGGCAGGUCUCUGGGCCACUACUGACGCUGAGAAGCGAAAGCAUGGGGAGCGAACAGG
This 253-nucleotide ribosomal RNA is filed under the name uncultured bacterium. RNAcentral describes it as "partial 16S ribosomal RNA". It matches the Rfam family "Bacterial small subunit ribosomal RNA", at positions 524 to 776 of the family's 1533-position model. The record is from RNAcentral.